UACUCGGCUUGUGUUGGUCUCCUACGUC
This 28-nucleotide small RNA is filed under the name Bombyx mori (domestic silkworm). RNAcentral's name for it is "piRNA piR-bmo-1848147". The record is from RNAcentral. Lineage: Eukaryota; Metazoa; Arthropoda; Insecta; Lepidoptera; Bombycidae.